Paramuricea clavata is the source of this 1141-nucleotide non-coding RNA. NCBI's taxonomy places the organism in Eukaryota, Metazoa, Cnidaria, Anthozoa, Malacalcyonacea, Plexauridae. The record is from the annotation of a GenBank genome assembly.
GUUACGAUUUACUUCUCGAGUGUUAAAAAAAGAAUAUCACCGACUAAAAAGUCAUCAAUAAUUCAUAAGGAAAAGACAAAGACUACCUUGUCGAUAGUGUUAAAGUGCCUAUACGACAAUUUUUUAUGAUUGAAUUGCAAAGUUCAUUUAAAAUCAUAAUAUAAUUUGUUUUCUAAAACUUUGUAAUCUUUCCUGUGUGUCAAGAUUUUCGACUUUGUUUGAUAUACAAAUGUGACUUAAAUGAGGUCACACUGCAUAAUGCGUUUUACAGAAGACUGUUGUAGCUUGUUAAAAUUCUCAUUAUCUCAAAUUUACAGACGAAAUGAUCGCUUUGAUAGCUCUUAAAGUAUAUCACUUUCAAUGUCAAUGGAAUUAUCACAUGUUUGGCAAGGAAACGUUUUCUUUCUAAAAACUCAUUAUGCAGUGCGACGUCAUUCAAGUCACAUUUGUAUAUCAAACAAAGUCGAAAACUUGGCAUACAGGAAAGAUUAUAAAGUUUUAGAAAACAAGUUAUAUUAUGAUUUUAAAUAAACUUUGCAAUUCAAUCAUAAAAAAAUUGUCGCAUAGGCACUUUAAACCAUGAGCCUUCAUACUACUAGUCUACUACAUGAUCAGAUGUCAACAUUCAUAUUUUAUCGAUACGGGAAAGGUCCAGGACCUGUUUAUUUAGGCCAAUUACCUUAUCCGGCAAAGCGAGUUACACAGACAAAAGUCUCGCAUCUUGUAGCAAGUCUGCCAACAAAUUGUCAACAAGUUGUAUUCGCAAUGCUUGUCCCAAGUUGUCAACAAGUUUGGAACAAACUGUUAACAACUUGUAACAACCUUGUUGAUAUUAUCAGACUUGUUACAAGGUUGUUCCAUUAAUAAGUCCGAUACAGUCAUAACAUAACAAUAUUGUUACAACCUUGUGUCCUCAACCUUGCAACACUCUUGUUUUACCAUGACUGUAUAUCGGACUUGCUAGAACAACCUUGCAACAAGUCUGAUAAUGCCAUCAAGCUUGUUGCAAGUUGUUAACAGCUUGUUCCAAACUUAGAACUGCUUGUUCCCAGUUGUUCUAACAGGUUUGAAAAUGUUCCAUACAUUUUCAAACCUGUUAGAACAACUGGGAACAAGCAGUGCGAACACAACUUGUUGACAG